GUUAAGAUCACAAACAGUCAAGGAGCGACAGAAGUGUCAUUAGCAGGGCCUCUGCGGCCAAGCCAGGGGUGGUCUGGCUGUGCUGGGACCCAGCCUUGAGGUGCCCGGAGGGAGUCCCCAGCAUGUAGCCCCGGGGAGCCCAGCGUGGCCCAGCACUCCGUCUGCUCUUUAUUCCUCAUUUAUGGUGGGGUCUUUCUCGUCUGACAAAAAUCAAUCCCGUGAAAGCAGAAUCUUUGCCUGCGUGCAGCCAAGGCGUGGGCUGCUGUCAUGGGCACGGAGGUGACAGUCACUGGCUUAUCUGAUGUCGUUGGCACCGGGCUGUCCCGUGCUCCAGACACAGCUGUGGGCACUCACACGUACGCUCUGCCCUCUCGCAGAAUGGAGAAGACAGCCCUGCCUGACAGCCCUGCUCCCCGAGUCACCUGCCACACGGAUUCCUGCCGUCCCGCAUGCAGACAGCACCGGGGCCCGAACUCAUGGAGGGGCCUGGAUAUCAACCGAGCCGCUCUGGGAUCCCAGAGUCUGCGGCAUGGAGCCUCUCCCACCAAGAGGUGGAAGAUGCACCCGAGAGGGGACCCCAGGGACAUUCCCAGGGCUGCUGUGAUGUCCAGCUCCGCACUUCCUGGGCAGGUCAGAUCACACGCUGCCCUGAGCCACUUGCAACAAGGGAUUAUCAUCUGCUCAACUGUCAGAACCGCCAGAGAGUCCCAAGAUGCCAAGACCUGGGAAGCCGCCCUGUCUGUCUGUCACUUUCUCAUCACCGGGACAAGAGACCUAAGCCCAAAACUUGAAGGAGGAGAGGUUUAUUUUAGCCCAGGUUCCAGUCCAUGGUUGGUGCUCCAAGGCCAGGUGGCACUGCAGAGAGGCCUGGCAGAGAAGAGGUGCUCAGGACAUAGGGGAUUCACAGCUGCUCAGGAAAUGGGGAGAAGGGAGGAGCCAGGAGGGAGAUGACCUUUUGGCCACGCCCCAGGACCACCCCUUCCACAGGCCCCGCCUCCUAUGCAGUCAUCCUCCAAUCAGCUGUCAAAGGUUCAGCCUCUGAAUGCACCAGGCUUCAGGGGAUGACACCAACACGUCUGCUGUUACAGGCUGCUUGUGUGUGUGUCUUUGCAGGAUCCAUCACACCCUCCCCAUGGUGCUCACCAGCCUGUCUACCCUUGACGACCUGUGUGUUUUCCUUCUGACGUUCCUCCACAUCUGGGCCUGGUGACCCUGGAAGGCUGUCCCCUUGGCCCCAGGGAUACCGGUGCCCAGGAAGAGAAGCUGACCAGAUGCAAGCCAGGGACAGCACGUGGGCCGCUCAUGUCCCAGAGCCCUGACAUCAUCCAAACUAACUGAUCUACGUGUGUCACCCUCACCACACCUGCAGAACCAUAGGGGUCUCCCUUUACAGCAGCCCCAAAGCAGGGAGCAGCAGGUGUGUGGAGCUAUGUGUGCGGUCUGUCUUCUUAGGUAUGCGGGCAUCAGGUGUCCUCUGCUCUGCUGCAGGAACCCUCAGCCAGGAGCUCCCGCAGGCUUCAACCCACACAACAGACCCGCCACACGGAAACAGUGUCCCUUGCCCAUGCCUCGAGGCCAUUUAAGACUCUUGGGACAUGAGCUAAGUGAGCUUGGGUUGUGAAGUUGAUCCUUUCAGAUGCUUGAUACCAAACCCGGAGUGUGCUGCAGAGAGUACGCUGGGAGCCCCUUGACCCUGACCAUCAGCCUUGGAACAGUAAAUUCUAAUCCUGGAACCGGAAGUUCUAAGCCUGGUCCUCACACUCAUACUGAAGGUUUUCCCGAGAGAUUUGGCUUCCUCUCUUUUCUCUUCCUCUUCUUUGACCCCCCCCACCUCCUUUCCCCUCUUCCUUUUCCUUCUUGCUCCACCAUACUGGGAAUUGAACCCGGACCCUUCUCACUGAGCUACAUCUCUAAAUUUUUGAGACGGGGACCUGCUAAAUAGCCUAGGCUAAGCUUGAACUUGCGACCUUCCUGCCUCAACCUCCCAGGGUGCAUGCAGGAUUACAGGUGUACACCACUACUCCCCCCACGAUGCUAUGCUUAUAAACAGUGGCACAUUCUCUAGGGAGAAAACCCUGGAGGGCAAGGCUGCCCAGAGGCUCCGGACCCUCGGCUCCAGGGACCUGACCAGUGGUGGAGAACCGUGGCGGGGCCUCUGGUCUCUCGGGUUUCAUCGGCUUCCCUGGGGCAGGGGUGGUGCUGCAUGCUGAAUCUGCUUCCUCUUCUGGCCGGGGCAGGGCCUUCCUGUGCCCGGAAAGGAAGGUCCAGCUGCUUGGGAAGAGCCUAAGCCCAGCCCCCUAAACAAAGGGCUGCGCUGACUCAUCUGCUCCUGGGCUGUGACUGCCAAUGUCAACUCAGGUGGCGACUUGGGACCUGGGUGGGAGGUUGAGCGGCUGAGCUCAGCUGGGCCUCAGGAAUCCGUGCCAAAUCUAAAAGCUGUUGCUUCUUCUUGAAGGGGCUCGUGCUGGCCCCCAAGGGCCCCUCCAGACGCCAGCCUGUGGGGGCCCCACGUGCUUCUGGGACGCCUGGACCCUGAGCUCUCGGGACUUGGGGCUGAAGCCUUCUGAAGCCAGAGCAGGGACAGGGCCACCUCAGAGCGCAUCCUCAUCCAGGCGAAGCACGUCUGCCAGGCAUCGCCUGCAGCUGUGCCCCACGAGUGCUCAGCUAUUCUUUCCUCUCCACGGGCGUGGAGCUGCAAGACCCUGGUCCUAUUUGUCCUGCCCCUUUCUGUCCCAGUUCAGCUGCUCAGAUGCCAGGUAGUGGCUGGGGGCUGCUGCUGCUCCUGGCCAUGGGAGGAAUUAAGCCAUCGGCUGCUGCGCCUAGAAACUGAACUCCUAGAGUAACCUGUAAGCCCGAUCAGACUCACGCUAAAGCCCCUGCCUGCCCCCCACAUGCCACUGGUGGCCCAGCCUGUGGUCUCACCUCCUUUAUUUUUUGGUGUUUGGAGACAGGGUCUCACUUUCAAGGCUGGCCUUGAACUCAGGGUGAUCGUCUUGCUUCAGCCUCCCAAAUGCUGGGAGCAGAGGUGCCCACUACCGCUAAGCCCUCUCCUGUCAAGCCUGGAGCCUAGGGAAGCUGGGAAAUGACCAGUUCUUAUUCUUGGGGUCUCCACAGGCCCAGGGCACCUCUCGUGGCUUCUGGAGGCCCAAGGCUUCCCAGUCCUCACAGCGUGGAGCCGCCAGCUGUGUGAGCAGGGCCCAGAGGACCUGAAUCCCCAUAACUCUACGCCGGCGUUUAUAACAGAGUCAGAACACUCUCCUCCUAUCCACAGCCCCUGCAUUAAGCUGCACACCCUGCCCUCCUUCCUGAGCUGAAUCCCUGUUUAGAAAGGCACAUUCGAGUUUUUCUUUCUCCGCUCUCUCCCUUAAAGCAAGAUUGGAAAACAGCAGAGAGCUCCACCAGCGCAGGGCCAGAGCAGGCCUUUCAUCACCAGAGGACUUGGAGAACCGUUCAGAGAGCCCACUUCCUGUCCAGAGAGGAAGUGGCAGGGUCUUGACCUCCAGCAUACCCUCGCCUCCAGUCACGCUGCAGCCUGGGAGAUGGUGAUUCAGUUUCCAUUUAUAAGUGAAACAAGUGCCUGUUGCCUCCUCUGCUGGGGGAGGGAGUAGGAAGGAGGAAGCAAAGCUUCUUCCAAACAAUUCAGCCCUGUUUAGCUUCCAAACAAGUCUGCAGGGGGAAGGAUUUCCUCAUGUUCAAGUUGGGGGGCAGCUUCUCCCAGGAAAGGCCUGGUUGUUUCUCUUCUGUGGUUAAGAAAAAGCAAAAGACAAAGACAAGACUGCAGUGACCACGUGACUCGGCAGAGGCUUGGCUAUAAUUGAAUCUCCUGUUCCCACAGUGCUUUGUGCUUUCAGAGAACUGUCACACAUGUUCCUGCAGAUUCUGGGGACUUCUGUGGGAAGCAGGCAAGGCAUCCGUGUCCUCGUUUAACUUGCUAAGCAGAACAAUGUGCUCAUGUUGAGCUGCUGUGGCAGUGGGGCCUGGCUUGUGGUCAGAGAGAGCGGUGGCCCAGGGGACGCGGACUGGACAGGACACCAGGAGCCCUGAUUUCAGCCUCCGUCUCCCUGCAUGACUCUCUGGACUUUGAUUCAUUCCCUGUGACGCAGGAUAACAGGACAGUGUCCUCGGGGAUGUGCCGAGCACAUGUGCGAGACAGGAUUCGUGCUCUGGCGGCCAUCACAGUGUCACGUCGCUUCUAGACGGCUCUAGAUGGUUCUGGGUGGAGCACAUCGGCUCUAGAGGAGAAAAACCUAGAAUCCUGGAGGACUCCCUUAGCCACCAUCACCCUGUAGCCUGGAGGAGGCUUCAGCUCCACGCUCCCUCUACAGCCUGGUCCAGGGCCUCUGGGACCACUCAUUGCCAAGGCUUGGUGAGCAAGGGCCUGAAGCCCAGGGUGCCCCUCAGGUAAAGCAGGGGCACACAGGUCAGGUAAUAGCAAGCGGAGCUCUGAAACCAGGAUCAGGAAAAGUCCCUGCCUUGCCUUCAAGGAUGUGUCCUCUGAGGGGUCAUGUGGCCAAAUACUGAGAAAGUGACACAGACACGCAGAGUUCGAAGAGACCACUGAGUAGGGCCACCUGUGACCUCUCUUGAGGGGAGCGAGAAGAAAGACAUGGGCAGGAAGGCCACCAGGUGCCACUGUGGCCCAUGGAGUAAAGCAUAUUUCCUGAGGAACCCCUGCUAGUCAUGCACAGAGAGCUUUCCCUUGUAGUUAUGGCUUAGAUCUAAAAUGUCCCUUGAGAGUCAUGUGCUCAGAGGUGGGGCCAGGUCAGAAGAGGCAGGUCACUGGGGUGAGGGCUGGAAGGGUGCAUGCUUGUCCUCAGUGCCUCCCUUCUCUCUGCUUCCUGGCCGCCAUGAGGUGAGCAGCUCUCCUCCACCAGGCCCUUCCGCCAUGAUGUUCCUGCCUUGGGGCAGCUGACCGUGGACUGAACCCUCUGAAACCAUGAGCCCCAUAACCCUCUCCUCCUUUAAGCCACCC
Long non-coding RNA from Fukomys damarensis (Damara mole-rat), 4972 nucleotides. NCBI's taxonomy places the organism in Eukaryota, Metazoa, Chordata, Mammalia, Rodentia, Bathyergidae. The record is from Ensembl.